GUCUACGGCCAUGCUACCCCAAACAAGCCCGAUCCCAUCUGAUCUUGGAAGCAAAGCAGGGUCGGGCCUGGUUAGUACUUGGAUGGGAGACCACCUAGGAAGACCAGGUGCUGUAAGUG
RNAcentral lists this ribosomal RNA (119 nucleotides) under Pteropus alecto (black flying fox). Lineage: Eukaryota; Metazoa; Chordata; Mammalia; Chiroptera; Pteropodidae. The record is from RNAcentral.